AUGCAAUCUGUAGUCCCAAAUCUGGAUUCUGAUUCGAGCUAUAUUGAACCAAGUUGGAGAGAUUUGAAGAUGUUGUCCGUCAAGCAUGGGUAUGUGAUGAGGCUAUUGUAG
RNAcentral lists this ribosomal RNA (111 nucleotides) under Triticum aestivum (bread wheat). RNAcentral's name for it is "partial small subunit ribosomal RNA". The record is from RNAcentral. Lineage: Eukaryota; Viridiplantae; Streptophyta; Magnoliopsida; Poales; Poaceae.